GGGGGUGUUCCGGAUUCGAUUCCAACCAAGAAAGUAUGGUGGCACGCGGAGGAUGAUGCUUGGCCUCCUUAAACAUGCAUCGCCACGAUAACUGGCAAGACGAACAACGUCAUCGCCUUCGAGCGUCCCUCGAUGGCACUCGCCGCUUAGUCGGUGACGGUCACGCCGGCCCACUCCUGUUAAGCCGCCGGACCGUCAAAAAAACAGGAAACACCUCCUUUUCCCGUCGGGUCUUCGGAGGCUAAAAAGAAAGACGCGGCUGGUUUGCGCGGGCGCUCCCGCCCCAAGGCAAACGAGACCCAAUCGGAGAGCUACGCGUGUAGAAACUAUGCCGGAUAGGUUGGAAGACGGGGGUUCAAAUCCCCCCACCUCCACCA
RNAcentral lists this transfer-messenger RNA (377 nucleotides) under Puniceicoccales bacterium. It matches the Rfam family "transfer-messenger RNA". From Rfam's summary of the family: Bacterial tmRNA, also known as 10Sa RNA or SsrA, is named for its dual tRNA and mRNA-like properties. Its role is to liberate the mRNA from a stalled ribosome. To accomplish this part of the tmRNA is used as a reading frame that ends in a translation stop signal. Lineage: Bacteria; Pseudomonadati; Verrucomicrobiota; Opitutia; Puniceicoccales. The record is from RNAcentral.